GAUGAACGCUGGCGGCGUGCCUAAUACAUGCAAGUCGAGCGAACGGACGAGAAGCUUGCUUCUCUGAUGUUAGCGGCGGACGGGUAAGUAACACGUGGAUAACCUACCUAUAAGACUGGGAUAACUUCGGGAAACCGUAGCUAAUACCGGAUAAUAUUUUGAACCGCAUGGUUCAAAAGUGAAAGACGGUCUUGCUGUCACUUAUAGAUGGAUCCGCGCUGCAUUAGCUAGUUGGUAAGGUAACGGCUUACCAAGGCAACGAUGCAUAGCCGACCUGAGAGGGUGAUCGGCCACACUGAAACUGAGACACGGUCCAGACUCCUACGGGAGGCAGCAGUAGGGAAUCUUCCGCAAUGGGCGAAAGCCUGACGGAGCAACGCCGCGUGAGUGAUGAAGGUCUUCGGAUCGUAAAACUCUGUUAUUAGGGAAGAACAUAUGUGUAAGUAACUGUGCACAUCUUGACGGUACCUAAUCAGAAAGCCACGGCUAACUACGUG
This 497-nucleotide ribosomal RNA is filed under the name uncultured bacterium. Its description in RNAcentral is "partial 16S ribosomal RNA". It matches the Rfam family "Bacterial small subunit ribosomal RNA", at positions 28 to 507 of the family's 1533-position model. The record is from RNAcentral.